Long non-coding RNA from Macrosteles quadrilineatus (aster leafhopper), 456 nucleotides. RefSeq lists it as uncharacterized. NCBI's taxonomy places the organism in Eukaryota, Metazoa, Arthropoda, Insecta, Hemiptera, Cicadellidae. The record is from RefSeq and is a predicted model, not a curated record. The transcript is spliced from 3 exons.
UACGGAUUAUCAUAUCAGUGGCCGGUAGCUAAUAGAUAAGAGAUAAGAGAGAGACAGGAGCGUUAGUCUCUUGUCAUCUGACGAUAUGGCGGCCUCUCCCAUCUAUUGUCUGGGUUGCGAGUUAUUCAGCCCGUAUCCUCAGACGGACUACAGCUUCUCCACUGGAGCUGAGCCGGAUUGUCAAGCUCUGUGAUAACUAUCGGCAACACUAAACAUCUUCUGGUGAUAUCAGAGCUCAAGACAGUAGGAGGACCGGUGUGUGGAGCCUGCUGUUGUAUCAUCUGUGACCGCUACAUCAUGAGAGUCACUGACAACUUGUACCACGAGAGAUGUGACAUGUACAAUGUUGUAUCUUGUACUAGGUGAUGUCAGAGCUCAAGACAGUAGGAGGACCGGUGUGUGGAGCCUGCUGUUGUAUCAUCUGUGACCGCUACAUCAUGAGAGUCACUGACAACU